UUGAACGCUGGCGGCAUGCUUUACACAUGCAAGUCGAACGGCAGCGCGGGCUUCGGCCUGGCGGCGAGUGACGAACGGGUGAGUAAUACAUCGGAACGUGCCCAGUAGUGGGGGAUAGCUCGGCGAAAGCCGGAUUAAUACCGCAUACGACCUGAGGGUGAAAGCGGGGGAUCUUCGGACCUCGCGCUAUUGGAGCGGCCGAUGGCAGAUUAGCUAGUUGGUGGGGUAAAGGCCUACCAAGGCGACGAUCUGUAGCUGGUCUGAGAGGACGACCAGCCACACUGGGACUGAGACACGGCCCAGACUCCUACGGGAGGCAGCAGUGGGGAAUUUUGGACAAUGGGCGAAAGCCUGAUCCAGCAAUGCCGCGUGUGUGAUGAAGGCCUUCGGGUUGUAAAGCACUUUUGGCGGGAACGAAAAGGACUGUGCCAAUACCACGGUUCGAUGACGGUACCCGCAGAAUAAGCACCGGCUAACUACGUG
RNAcentral lists this ribosomal RNA (483 nucleotides) under uncultured bacterium. RNAcentral's name for it is "partial 16S ribosomal RNA". It matches the Rfam family "Bacterial small subunit ribosomal RNA", at positions 29 to 507 of the family's 1533-position model. The record is from RNAcentral.